UUACCGGCUCUAAUGGCAUGAAAGUCCUUCGGGCCAAGGUGCUGCAUGGUUGUCGUCAGCUCGUGCCGUGAGGUGUUGGGUUAAGUCCCGCAACGAGCGCAACCCUAUUUUAGUUGCCAGCAUAUGGGACUCUAAAAGACUGCCGGCGUAACCGGAGGAAGGUGGGGACGACGUCAAAUCAUCAUGGCCUUUAUGCCGGGCGACACACGUGCUACAAUGGCAUACAAGGGGCACCGCGAGGGGAGCAAUCCCAAAAUGAUCCCAGUUCGGAUUGGAGUCUGCAACUCGACUCCAUGAAGGUGGAAUCGCUAGUAAUCGCGAUCAGCAUGCGCGGUGAAUACGUUCCCGGACCUUGUACACACCGCCCGUCAAGCCAUGGAAGCUGGGGACCGAA
Molecule: ribosomal RNA, 394 nt
Filed under: uncultured bacterium
Lineage: Bacteria
Description: bacterial SSU rRNA
Rfam family: Bacterial small subunit ribosomal RNA
Source: RNAcentral